This 497-nucleotide ribosomal RNA is filed under the name uncultured bacterium. RNAcentral describes it as "bacterial SSU rRNA". It matches the Rfam family "Bacterial small subunit ribosomal RNA", at positions 34 to 518 of the family's 1533-position model. The record is from RNAcentral.
CGCUAGCGGCAGGCUUAACACAUGCAAGUCGAGGGGCAACGCGAGUAGCAAGUACUUGGCGGCGACCGGCGCAAGGGUGCGUAACGCGUGAGCAACAGUGCCCGUAUCAGGGGGAUAAUCCAGGGAAACUUGGUCUAAUACCCAGUAGUAAUUUUUGUAAGGCAUCUUAUAAGAGUUUAAAGCUUUGGUGGAUACGGAUUGGCUCGCGUGACAUUAGCUGGAUGGUAAGGUAACGGCUUACCAUGGCUAUGAUGUCUAGGGGUUCUGAGAGGAAGGUCCCCCACACUGGAACUGAGACACGGUCCAGACUCCUACGGGAGGCAGCAGUGAGGAAUAUUGGACAAUGGAUGGAAAUCUGAUCCAGCCAGUGCCGCGUGAAGGAAGAAAGGUCCCAUGGAUUGUAAACUUCUUUUGUAUGGGAGCAAGUAAGGCCUACGAGUAGGUUGAUGAGAGUACCAUACGAAUUAAGCACCGGCUAACUCCGUGCCAGCAGCUGC